GAUUAUGUCAAAUUCCGCGAUAUUCCGCAUUAAAAGUAGAUUCCGUUUUAUUUGGCUAAUUCCGCGAUUCCGUCCACGAUUCCAUGAUCGCAGAAAUUAUAGGACCCUACAUUGUUAACAUUA
Molecule: long non-coding RNA, 123 nt
Organism: Myripristis murdjan (pinecone soldierfish)
Lineage: Eukaryota; Metazoa; Chordata; Actinopteri; Holocentriformes; Holocentridae
Exons: 3
Source: RefSeq, a predicted model, not a curated record